RNAcentral lists this ribosomal RNA (1173 nucleotides) under metagenome. RNAcentral describes it as "bacterial SSU rRNA". It matches the Rfam family "Eukaryotic small subunit ribosomal RNA", at positions 603 to 1771 of the family's 1831-position model. The record is from RNAcentral.
AUUAAAUUUGCUGCAGUUAAAAAGCUCGUAGUUGGAUUUGUGGUGUGGUGCGUCUGGAGCCAGCGUGGUCCUUUCGAGGGCUGUGUUGUGUGAUCCGGGUAAGCGUGCCUGCCAUUUGUUCCUCUUCUUCACAUCUUCGGAUGGGAUGUUGGGGGAACCCUUUACUUUGAGCAAAUUAGAGUGUUCCAAGCAGGCCGUUCUAGGGCCGUGAAUACAUGAGCAUGGAAUAAUAAGAUAGGACUCGGGUUCUAUUUUGUUGGUUUCCAGGAUCUGAGUAAUGAUUGAUAGGGACGGUUGGGGGUGCUAGUAUUCAACGGCCAGAGGUGAAAUUCUUGGAUUCGUUGAAGACUAACUUAUGCGAAAGCAUUCACCAAGGACGUCUUCUUUAAUCAAGAACGAAAGUUGGGGGAUCGAAGACGAUCAGAUACCGUCGUAGUCUCAACUAUAAACGAUGCCAACUAGGGAUACGUGGACGUUUGUUCGAAGACUCCAUGUGCACCUGACGAGAAAUCCAAGUUUUUGGGUUCCGGGGGGAGUAUGGUCGCAAGGCUGAAACUUAAAGGAAUUGACGGAAGGGCACACCAGGAGUGGAGCCUGCGGCUUAAUUUGACCCAACACGGGGAAACUUACCAGGUCCAGACAAUAAGAGGAUUGACAGAUUGAAGAUCUUUCUUGAUUUAUUGAGUGGUGGUGCAUGGCCGUUCUUAGUUGGUGGAGUGAUUUGUCUGGUUUAUUCCGUUAACGAACGAGACCUCGACUUGCUAAGUAGGGUUGGAUAACGUGAGUUAUUUCUUUUGAAUUCUUCUUAGAGGGACUCUCGGUGCGUAGCCGAUGGAAGUUCGAGGCAAUAACAGGUCUGUGAUGCCCUUAGAUGUUCUGGGCCGCACGCGCGCUACACUGAUGUGUUCACUGAGCACCUUGUGAAAGAGCCUUGGCCGAGAGGUCCGGGGAAUCUGUGAAAGCACAUCGUGAUGGGGAUAGAUUAUUGCAAUUAUUAGUCUUGAACGAGGAAUUCCUAGUAAACGCGGGUCAUCAGCUCGCAUUGACUACGUCUCCGCCCUUUGUACACACCGCCCGUCGCUACUACCGAUUGAAUGAUUUAGUGAGCAUCGCGGAGAUUGCUUGUGUGGGGGUGACCCUGCGUGAGUGUUUGAAGCGGCGCAAACUUGACCA